RNAcentral lists this ribosomal RNA (788 nucleotides) under uncultured Gammaproteobacteria bacterium. RNAcentral describes it as "bacterial SSU rRNA". It matches the Rfam family "Bacterial small subunit ribosomal RNA", at positions 56 to 839 of the family's 1533-position model. Lineage: Bacteria; Pseudomonadati; Pseudomonadota; Gammaproteobacteria. The record is from RNAcentral.
UGCAGUCGGGCGGAACGAUGGAGCUUGCUCCAGGCGUCGAGCGGCGGACGGGUGAGUAACGCGUAGGAAUCUGCCCAGUAGAGGGGGAUAGCCCGAGGAAACUCGGAUUAAUACCGCAUACGCCCUACGGGGGAAAGCAGGGGAUCUUCGGACCUUGCGCUAUUGGAUGAGCCUAUGUCGGAUUAGCUAGUUGGUAGGGUAAAGGCCUACCAGGGCUACGAUCCGUAGCUGGUCUGAGAGGAUGAUCAGCCACACUGGGACUGAGACACGGCCCAGACUCCUACGGGAGGCAGCAGUGGGGAAUAUUGCACAAUGGGCGCAAGCCUGAUGCAGCAAUGCCGCGUGUGUGAAGAAGGCCUGCGGGUUGUAAAGCACUUUUAUUGGGAAAGAAAAACCCGGAGCUAAUACCUCCGGCAUUGACGGUACCCAAAGAAUAAGCACCGGCUAACUCAGUGCCAGCAGCCGCGGUAAUACUGAGGGUGCAAGCGUUAAUCGGAAUUACUGGGCGUAAAGCGAGUGUAGGCGGUUACUUAAGUCGGAUGUGAAAUCCCCGGGCUCAACCUGGGAAUUGCAUUCGAUACUGGGUAGCUAGAGUUUGGUAGAGGUAAGUGGAAUUCCGGGUGUAGCGGUGAAAUGCGUAGAUAUCCGGAGGAACAUCAGUGGCGAAGGCGGCUUACUGGACCAAAACUGACGCUGAGGCUCGAAAGCGUGGGGAGCAAACAGGAUUAGAUACCCUGGUAGUCCACGCCCUAAACUAUGUCAACUAGACGUUGGGCUCAUUAAUGAGC